UACUUUGGUGACGAACAGCGCGGAUGAAGCACUCUUCUUCCCCGAUGAACUCAAAGACCACUCUCUGCCUCACACUCUCGAUUAGAAACCUCUCAUCUUUACCAGAAUUCGUCUAGCGUGUCUUCAACAGCGGCGAAGCGAAACCGAUAACCAGAGUGCAGGUUCCUAUUGUUAAAGGUACAGUUGCCUUAAGAUUGCGAUUGUGUUGAUAUGAUUGUUGAUUGAAGAACAUAGUGAAGGUUGAAGAUGUUGAAGGAGAUCACGGUGAUCGCAGAUGAGGAAGCUAUCGAAUACACUUGAUGAACGAAAGAUGAAGAUCCAUGGUGAUUGAAGAGUUUUUUACAAGUGAACUUUGAAACCUUCAGAUUCGAUUCUCGAUCUCUCCCUCUCUUCCCAUUUUGUUAUGAUCUUUUAGUUCUGGUUUUUCAGGUGAAUUCAACGGAAGUGGAGAUUGGAGAAUUAAGAGAAUCUAGAAGAGAUGUUCUGUGAGGUUGUGAAGAUUAUAGAUUGUUGGAGAGUUUCUUUUGUGAAUUGAAGAUAGGUCAAGGUUGAAGUUAUGGAGAAUUGAGAGGAUUGGGGAAGAAGAUGGAGGGAAUGCAAUACCGUUUGAUCCGGUUCAGUGGGUUUUUAUGGAAUCGGUUUCAACCUGAUAUGGAAAGGUCUUGUUCACGUUGGCCACCACUAUUAAUCACCACCUCAUCACGCACAUCCAUAUGGGUACCAAAAUGCAUCUCAUGGUUGUAUGGUUUUGUGUAGUUCAGUAUAGAUACUGGAAUGGUGUAAAGGGUUUUUGGAUUUUAGACUUUCUUUUUGUGUAAUUCUUUAUAAUUUGGCUUUUGUAAUGGAUAUCUUAGAUUUGAAUUGUAUGGACAUUUGUGAUGUAUGGACUUUGAAUUUUGUAAUGAAUAAGGUUUUGAA
Vicia villosa (hairy vetch) is the source of this 918-nucleotide long non-coding RNA. RefSeq lists it as uncharacterized. The record is from RefSeq and is a predicted model, not a curated record. The transcript has 3 exons. Lineage: Eukaryota; Viridiplantae; Streptophyta; Magnoliopsida; Fabales; Fabaceae.